AGAGUUUUGAUCCUGGCUCAGAUUGAACGCUGGCGGCAUGCCUAACACAUGCAAGUCGAACGGCAGCACAGCAGAGCUUGCUCUUGUGGGUGGCGAGUGGCGGACGGGUGAGUAAUGCAUCGGGACCUACCCAGACGUGGGGGAUAACGUAGGGAAACUUACGCUAAUACCGCAUACGUCCUACGGGAGAAAGCAGGGGACCUUCGGGCCUUGCGCGGUUGGACGGACCGAUGUGCGAUUAGCUAGUUGGUAGGGUAAUGGCCUACCAAGGCGACGAUCGCUAGCUGGUCUGAGAGGAUGAUCAGCCACACUGGGACUGAGACACGGCCCAGACUCCUACGGGAGGCAGCAGUGGGGAAUAUUGGACAAUGGGCGCAAGCCUGGAUCCAGCAAUGCCGCGUGUGUGAAGAAGGCCCUCGGGUUGUAAAGCACUUUUAUCAGGAACGAAAUACCACGGGUUAAUACCCUAUGGGGCUGACGGUACCUGAAGGAAUAAGCACCGGCUAACUUCGUGCCAAGCAGCCGCGGUAAUACGAAGGGUGCAAGCGUUAAUCGGAAUUACUGGGCGUAAAGGGUGCGUAAGGCGGUUCGUUAAGUCUGUCGUGAGAA
RNAcentral lists this ribosomal RNA (609 nucleotides) under Frateuria sp. A12. RNAcentral's name for it is "bacterial SSU rRNA". It matches the Rfam family "Bacterial small subunit ribosomal RNA", at positions 8 to 600 of the family's 1533-position model. The record is from RNAcentral. Lineage: Bacteria; Pseudomonadati; Pseudomonadota; Gammaproteobacteria; Lysobacterales; Rhodanobacteraceae.